GCGGGAGUGGCGUAAUAGGCAGGCGCGCGGGCCUUAGGAGCCCGUGUCCGAGAGGACGUGGGGGUUCGACUCCCCUCUCCCGCACCA
RNAcentral lists this transfer RNA (87 nucleotides) under Micromonospora eburnea. Its description in RNAcentral is "tRNA_Leu_TAG". It matches the Rfam family "tRNA". From Rfam's summary of the family: Transfer RNA (tRNA) molecules are approximately 80 nucleotides in length. Their secondary structure includes four short double-helical elements and three loops (D, anti-codon, and T loops). The record is from RNAcentral. Lineage: Bacteria; Bacillati; Actinomycetota; Actinomycetes; Micromonosporales; Micromonosporaceae.